AUCCCACGAUGAGGACACUUACGAAGUAACUCCUUGAAUCGCUCCCAAGCCUCAUAUAAAGACUCGUCAUCCAACUGUUGGAAAGUUGUGUCUCGUUCCUUAACUU
This is a non-coding RNA of Gossypium raimondii (Peruvian cotton), 106 nucleotides long. The record is from Rfam. Lineage: Eukaryota; Viridiplantae; Streptophyta; Magnoliopsida; Malvales; Malvaceae.